AUUGAACGCUGGCGGCAGGCCUAACACAUGCGAGUCGAGCGGAUGAAGGGAGCUUGCUCCUGGAUUCAGCGGCGGACGGGUGAGUAAUGCCUAGGAAUCUGCCUGGUAGUGGGGGAUAACGUCCGGAAACGGGCGCUAAUACCGCAUACGUCCUGAGGGAGAAAGUGGGGGAUCUUCGGACCUCACGCUAUCAGAUGAGCCUAGGUCGGAUUAGCUAGUUGGUGGGGUAAAGGCCUACCAAGGCGACGAUCCGUAACUGGUCUGAGAGGAUGAUCAGUCACACUGGAACUGAGACACGGUCCAGACUCCUACGGGAGGCAGCAGUGGGGAAUAUUGGACAAUGGGCGAAAGCCUGAUCCAGCCAUGCCGCGUGUGUGAAGGAGGUCUUCGGAUUGUAAAGCACUUUAAGUUGGGAGGAAGGGCAGUAAGUUAAUACCUUGCUGUUUUGACGUUACCAACAGAAUAAGCACCGGCUAACUUCGUG
RNAcentral lists this ribosomal RNA (484 nucleotides) under uncultured bacterium. Its description in RNAcentral is "partial 16S ribosomal RNA". It matches the Rfam family "Bacterial small subunit ribosomal RNA", at positions 30 to 507 of the family's 1533-position model. The record is from RNAcentral.